GUCCCGGCCCUAAACGAUGAACACUUGGCGUGGCGGGUCUCAACCCCCGCUGUGCCGGAGCUAACGCGUUAAGUGUUCCGCCUGGGGAGGUACGGUCGCAAGGCUGAAACUCAAAGGAAAUUGACGGGGGCCCGCACAAGCGGUGGAGCAUGUGGUUCAAUUCGACGCAACGCGAAGAACCUUACCUGGGCUCGAAGCGCAGUGGAAUCCGGAUGAAAGUUCGGCGUCCCGCAAGGGACCAUUGCGGAGGUGCUGCAUGGCUGUCGU
RNAcentral lists this ribosomal RNA (267 nucleotides) under uncultured bacterium. Its description in RNAcentral is "partial 16S ribosomal RNA". It matches the Rfam family "Bacterial small subunit ribosomal RNA", at positions 793 to 1055 of the family's 1533-position model. The record is from RNAcentral.